RNAcentral lists this ribosomal RNA (253 nucleotides) under uncultured bacterium. RNAcentral's name for it is "partial 16S ribosomal RNA". It matches the Rfam family "Bacterial small subunit ribosomal RNA", at positions 524 to 776 of the family's 1533-position model. The record is from RNAcentral.
UACGUAGGGGGCUAGCGUUGUCCGGAAUCAUUGGGCGUAAAGAGCGUGUAGGCGGUCCGGUAAGUCCGCUGUGAAAGUCGGGGGCUCAACCCUCGAAUGCCGGUGGAUACUGUCGGGCUAGAGUGCGGAAGAGGCGAGUGGAAUUCCUGGUGUAGCGGUGAAAUGCGCAGAUAUCAGGAGGAACACCCGUGGCGAAGGCGGCUCACUGGGCAUUAUCUGACGCUGAGGCGCGAAAGUGUGGGUAGCAAACAGG